AAACCAGCACCUCAAGUGGUCAGGAGGAUUAUUGGGCCUAAAGCAUCCGUAGCCUGUUCUAUAAGUUUCCGGUUAAAUCCACUAGCUCAACUAGUGGGCUGCCGAAAAUACUGUAGAACUAGGGAGUGGGAGAGGUAGACGGUAUUCGGUAGGAAGGGGUAAAAUCCUUUGAUCUAUUGAGGACCACCUGUGGCGAAGGCGGUCUACCAGAACACGUUCGACGGUGAGGGAUGAAAGCUGGGGGAGCAAACCGGAUUAGAAACCCGAGUAGUCC
RNAcentral lists this ribosomal RNA (274 nucleotides) under uncultured bacterium. RNAcentral's name for it is "partial 16S ribosomal RNA". It matches the Rfam family "Archaeal small subunit ribosomal RNA", at positions 473 to 747 of the family's 1478-position model. The record is from RNAcentral.